GCGAACUCUGUGCCAGUGGCCGCGGUAAUCCAGAGACGGCAAGCGGUAGUCUGAUUCACUGGGCGUAAAGGGUGCGCAGGCGGCCGGGUGAGUUGGGCGGGAAAGCCCGGGGCUUAACCCCGGAAUUGCACCCAAAACUACAUGGCUAGAGCAUUGGAGAGGGUAGCAGAAUUCAUGGUGUAGCAGUGAAAUGCGUAGAUAUCAUGAGGAAUACCAGAGGCGAAGGCGGCUACCUGGACAAUUGCUAACGCUCAGGCACGAAAGCGUGGGGAGCAAAAGGGAUUAGAUACCCUAGUAGUC
Molecule: ribosomal RNA, 300 nt
Filed under: uncultured Desulfurobacterium sp.
Lineage: Bacteria; Pseudomonadati; Aquificota; Aquificia; Desulfurobacteriales; Desulfurobacteriaceae
Description: bacterial SSU rRNA
Rfam family: Bacterial small subunit ribosomal RNA
Source: RNAcentral